This 536-nucleotide ribosomal RNA is filed under the name Salmonella enterica subsp. enterica serovar Bareilly. Its description in RNAcentral is "partial 23S ribosomal RNA". It matches the Rfam family "Bacterial large subunit ribosomal RNA", at positions 2164 to 2699 of the family's 2925-position model. The record is from RNAcentral. Lineage: Bacteria; Pseudomonadati; Pseudomonadota; Gammaproteobacteria; Enterobacterales; Enterobacteriaceae.
GUGGACGCCAGUCUGCGUGGAGCCGACCUUGAAAUACCACCCUUUAAUGUUUGAUGUUCUAACGUGGACCCGUAAUCCGGGUUGCGGACAGUGUCUGGUGGGUAGUUUGACUGGGGCGGUCUCCUCCUAAAGAGUAACGGAGGAGCACGAAGGUUGGCUAAUCCUGGUCGGACAUCAGGAGGUUAGUGCAAUGGCAUAAGCCAGCUUGACUGCGAGCGUGACGGCGCGAGCAGGUGCGAAAGCAGGUCAUAGUGAUCCGGUGGUUCUGAAUGGAAGGGCCAUCGCUCAACGGAUAAAAGGUACUCCGGGGAUAACAGGCUGAUACCGCCCAAGAGUUCAUAUCGACGGCGGUGUUUGGCACCUCGAUGUCGGCUCAUCACAUCCUGGGGCUGAAGUAGGUCCCAAGGGUAUGGCUGUUCGCCAUUUAAAGUGGUACGCGAGCUGGGUUUAGAACGUCGUGAGACAGUUCGGUCCCUAUCUGCCGUGGGCGCUGGAGAACUGAGGGGGGCUGCUCCUAGUACGAGAGGACCGGAGUG